RNA transcript from Quercus lobata, 3698 nucleotides. It is a transcript of the gene named DEAD-box ATP-dependent RNA helicase 20-like, with no coding region annotated. The record is from RefSeq and is a predicted model, not a curated record. The transcript has 10 exons. NCBI's taxonomy places the organism in Eukaryota, Viridiplantae, Streptophyta, Magnoliopsida, Fagales, Fagaceae.
AUUCACCCAUAGAUAUUUUCCCUCCCAACAAAAUCAACAAUCUCUCUCUCAAGUCUCAACUCUCCUAUUUCACCCAAAAAUUCUCAAUUUUCUCACACAAACUGAGAAAAACUAAACCCUAAUUUUUAUUUCUACUCUCAACUUUUUCUUCUUCUUCUUGUUUCCAAACCCUAGUUCCCUCUUUUUUCCGUCCCCCACAGUAGUACCAAAAGAAACCGUACUACCAAACAUGAGCCUAUACGACCACCGCUACGGCGAUCCGAAUUCCUAUCGCGAGCGUCGAAGUGAUUUAAUUGGUCCUCCAGCACCGGUGGCUCCGCCAGUUAUUGGCGUUGCCGCUUCGAGCUAUGGCCGUGGUGGACCUGUGCCAUACGGAGGCGCUGCUCCUCCUCAGGUUUAUGGCAGAGGAGGAGGAGGAGGAGGAGGAAGUGGUGGGUCGGGUAGUUUUAAUGGGUACCCGCCUUUUCAGCCGUCUGCUGGCCGAUUUGAUGUUGGCCGAGGCGGCAGUGGUGGUAGAAUUGGGAAUGGAAAUGUUGGGGAUAGAAGAAUUGGUAAUGUAGGGCGUGGUGGUGUUGGUGGGGGGAGAGGGUUUGAUUCGGGGAGUGGUGGUGGUAGAGGUGGUAUAAGUCGCGGUGGAGGAGAUAGGGAUGGCCGAAUUGGGGGUAGGGGUUAUGGUGGUGGUCGUGGUGGGAGUAGUAGUUUUGGUGGUGGCGGGAGGGGAUUCGAUGGGCGUGGUGGUGGAAGAGGAGGUAGGCAUGGUGGGGGGUCAAGAGGGGACUUGGACAACAUUGCUUUGCCUAAGCAGGAUUUUGGGAGUUUGGUCCCUUUUGAGAAGAAUUUUUAUGUUGAGACUCCUUCCGUGCGGGCAAUGAGUGAGCAUGAAGCUGUGGUUUAUAGGGUGAGGCGGGAUAUCACGGUGGAAGGGCAUGAUGUUCCAAAGCCAAUUAGGAUGUUUCACGAAGCUAAUUUCCCCGAUUACUGCCUUGAUGCGAUUGCAAAACUGGGUUUUGUUGAGCCAACACCAAUUCAGGCUCAAGGAUGGCCGAUGGCUCUUAAGGGUAGGGAUUUAAUUGGAAUUGCUGAGACUGGUUCUGGUAAGACUUUGGCAUAUCUGCUUCCAGCUUUGGUCCAUGUCAAAGCGCAGCCUCGAUUGGUACAAGGUGAAGGUCCCAUUGUAUUGGUAUUAGCACCUACUAGAGAAUUAGCUGUCCAAAUUCAAGAAGAAGCUCUAAAAUUUGGGUCACGUGCUAAUAUUAGAAUUACUUGCAUAUAUGGUGGUGCUCCUAAAGGGCCUCAAAUUCGCGACCUUAAAAGAGGUGUGGAGAUUGUUAUUGCUACACCUGGCCGACUGAUAGAUAUGUUGGAAGCUCAACACACAAACUUGCGAAGAGUGACCUAUCUUGUGUUAGAUGAGGCUGAUCGAAUGUUGGACAUGGGAUUUGAGCCUCAGAUAAGGAAAAUCGUAUCCCAGAUUCGGCCAGAUAGACAGACAUUGUAUUGGAGUGCCACAUGGCCAAGGGAGGUUGAAACUCUAGCAAGGCAGUUUUUACGCAAUCCAUAUAAGGUUAUUGUUGGAUCAUCAGAUCUGAAAGCAAACCAGUCUAUAAUUCAAGUUGUUGAAAUUUUGACAGAUAUGGAGAAAUAUAAUAGGCUGAUUAAACUCCUUAAAGAUAUGAUGGAUGGGAGCCGAAUUCUGAUAUUUAUGGAGACAAAAAAAGGAUGUGACCAAGUUACAAGGCAAUUGAGAAUGGAUGGAUGGCCAGCUUUAUCCAUCCAUGGUGAUAAAAACCAGGCCGAAAGGGACUGGGUCCUUGCUGAGUUUAAAAGUGGCAGAAGUCCUAUAAUGACUGCCACUGAUGUUGCUGCACGGGGUCUUGGUAGGAUCACUGCAUGCUAGGAGUCUUAGGUUUUUUCAUCUAGGUCUUAAAAAUUCCAAAGAUAGGCGAGUCGGCCGGCUGCUGUCCAGUAUCCUAAGAAUAUAAUUUGUGGUUUGGGUGCGAAGGGAGGAGCCAUGAUUUGUCAUGACUGGGACUGCUCAUUUUUUAUUCACACGCAAUAUCUUUCUACUGCGUUAAGGGAUUUAUUAUUCAUGAGUUGGAUGAAGGGGCAAGGUUUCUCAUCUUAAUCAUACUCCUAAUCUUACACGGACACUAGGAGCAUAGUUUCACUGUUAUUGCUAGAAUAACAGAUGUUAAAAUUUUUGGUGGAGGUUUGUCAUGAGCCUUGUAGCUCAACUGGUUGAUAGCUCCUCGUGUUUAUAAAUGAGGCAUCUAGGGUUCAAAUCCCUCUCCUCCAAUUUUGAAUUAUCAAAAUUUUUGGGGGAGUUUUGUCAAGAGCCUUGUAGCUCAAUUGGUUGGUAGCUCCUCAUUUUUAUAAAUGAGGCAUCUAGGGUUCAAAUCCCCCUUCCCCAAUUUUUGAAUUAUCAAAAUUUUUGGGGGAGGUUUGCCAUUUAUAUUAUUAAAGCGAGAUAGAUAUUUUAUAUUGACUAAAAUAUUGUUUACAUCCCUAAAGUUUGCAUGAAGUUCAUUUCCCUAAACUUUAAAAAGUUAUUUUUUUGUCCUUUUAAAGAGAUUUUUCCGAUAGUUUAGGGAUUGAAAAUAGGGACAAAAAAAGAACAUUUUUUUCAAAUAGUUUAGGUAUGAAAAACAAAUCUUUUUAUAGUUUUAGCACCAAAAGUGUAACGUUUUCAAUAGUUUAGGAACAAAAAAAAAGUACUCUUUAAAGCUUAGGGAUGAAAUUCAAAAUUCAUGCAAACUUUGUGAACAAAAACAAUAUUUUAACCUAUUAUAUUCAUAGGACUGGAAAAUCCCUCCCACUUCCACUCCUUUUUAAAUUCAUUAGGAAGUAGAGCUGGCUUUUAUAUGGUUGGCUACUGACUUUUUGCUAGAAGUGUUGCUCCUAUUAUCAAGUGUCUAAUUAACAUAGUCAAGGUUAUCGCUGCCCAUCCACAGUUAUGGAGCUGGUUGUUGUCGCAGUCCGGUUGACUCACACAUGCUUAUGCAUUGAUUGGAUAUGGAAGUGGUGGUGGUGAAGCUGCUCCUUAUCCCUGCAAGGUUAAGAUGUGAAGGACAUCAAAUGUGUGGUCAAUUAUGAUUUUCCGUCAAGCCUUGAAGAUUAUGUCCACAGGAUUGGCCGAACUGGUCGGGCAGGAGCAAAGGGGACUGCGUUCACCUUUUUCACCCAUGCAAAUGCAAAGUAUGCUAGGGAUCUUAUCAAGAUCUUGCAAGAAGCUGGGCAGGUUGUGAAUCCUGCACUCUCUAGCAUGGCUCGUUCAGCUGGUUCUGGUCUAGGAGGAUCUGGGGGAAACUUUCGCUCCAGAGGACGAGGAGGGUUUGGCAAUCGGUCUCAGAUUUCAGGCUCUAAUACUAUUCCCCUUGGUGGAAGGAGACCUUGGUAGUGUGUUACUGCUGCUGCUGAUAGCCGUAAUGUAAUUUGAUAUAAACUUAGGAUAGUCUGUAGAGAAUGAUUUAUGUCAUGGUUGCAGCUAGCUUACUUUCACUUUUGGCAUCUUUUACUGAUUCAUGCCAAAGAAAAAACAAAAUUAGUCGUGUUGUAUUUUUAAAUUCUUGAGCAAAAUUUAUUGAUGUUGUAUUGUCUACCAUUGAAAUUCAGCCAAAAAAGAAGUAUUACAUAAUUUGACUUCCAGCUGAUACUAUCUCUGAUGCUUAGUCUAUGAUAUGCCAUAAUAGUUGCUUUAA